Molecule: ribosomal RNA, 565 nt
Filed under: uncultured archaeon
Lineage: Archaea
Description: bacterial SSU rRNA
Rfam family: Archaeal small subunit ribosomal RNA
Source: RNAcentral
GCAAUCGCCCUUCGGGGUGCACCAGGCGCGAAAACUUUACAAUGCGGGAAACCGUGAUAAGGGGACACCGAGUGCCAGCAUCAUAUGCUGGCUGUCCAGAUGUGUAAAAUACAUCUGUUAGCAAGGGCCGGGCAAGACCGGUGCCAGCCGCCGCGGUAACACCGGCGGCCCGAGUGGUGAUCGUGAUUAUUGGGUCUAAAGGGUCCGUAGCCGGUUUGGUCAGUCCUCCGGGAAAUCUGAUAGCUCAACUAUUAGGCUUUCGGGGGAUACUGCCAGACUUGGAACCGGGAGAGGUAAGAGGUACUACAGGGGUAGGAGUGAAAUCUUGUAAUCCCUGUGGGACCACCUGUGGCGAAGGCGUCUUACCAGAACGGGUUCGACGGUGAGGGACGAAAGCUGGGGGCACGAACCGGAUUAGAUACCCGGGUAGUCCCAGCCGUAAACGAUGCUCGCUAGGUGUCAGACAUGGCGCGACCGUGUCUGGUGCCGCAGGGAAGCCGUGAAGCGAGCCACCUGGGAAGUACGGCCGCAAGGCUGAAACUUAAAGGAAUUGGCGGGGGAGCAC